ACACGCAUGACACACUGCAUAUCAAUAAGCGGAGGAAAAGAAACUAACAAGGAUUCCCCUAGUAACGGCGAGUGAAGCGGGAAGAGCUCAAAUUUGAAAUCUUCAAGGGUUUACCUUUACGAAUUGUAGUUUAAAGAAGUGUUUUCUGUUGGAGUUUUGGUAAAAGUUCUUUGGAAUAGGACAUCAUAGAGGGUGAGAAUCCCGUAUUUGACCAUUAUUUCCAACUGUGUGAUACACUUUCAAAGAGUCGGAUUGUUUGGGAAUGCAGUCCAAAAUGGGUGGUAAAUUUCAUCUAAAGCUAAAUAUUGGCGAGAGACCGAUAGCGAACAAGUACCGUGAGGGAAAGAUGAAAAGAACUUUGAAAAGAGAGUUAAACAGUACGUGAAAUUGUCAAAAGGGAAGCGUUUGACACCAGUGUUGUUUUCUCGAAAAUCAAUUAAAGAAAGGCCUGGAUUUUGUGUUGUAUUGACCUUAACAGCUUUCUUCACUCUUUUCUUGUCUUUUUUAAUGCACUUUUCGUUUAACAAGUCAACAUCAGUUUCUUUUGUUGUAAAAGGGUCAUUGGAAGGUGGCUUUCUUUUCGGAGAAAGUGUUUAUAGCCUUUGAUCUCUGCAACCGGAGAGACUGAGGUCUGCAGCGUAGACUCUUCGGGGUUAAAUACAUUUGUGCUAAGCUAUAGCUUUUUAUAGACAACUUGUUGACUAUAUUUAGUCUUGUGGCUUACUCGCUUAUGCUAUUUUACCUACGCUUAGGAUGUUGAGCGCAUGUCUCUCUCU
Molecule: ribosomal RNA, 776 nt
Filed under: uncultured Neocallimastigales
Lineage: Eukaryota; Fungi; Neocallimastigomycota; Neocallimastigomycetes; Neocallimastigales
Description: partial large subunit ribosomal RNA
Rfam family: Eukaryotic large subunit ribosomal RNA
Source: RNAcentral